GAUUAAUUUGGUUUUGGUUAAAUGAAGGAAUGGUAUUGAAACUAACAUAAAAUAUUUGUAUCAAUUUCUAACUUCUAAAAAGAGGUUAUAAUUUAGUAGUGGAUUUUUAUUAAUAAAGAUGGGAGUCUGUUUAAGUCAAUACAUUAAAGGGGUUAAUAAUAGGUGCCAGCAACUGCGGUUAUACCUAUUCUUAUCUUCAUUUUUGGGUUAAAUAUAAAUUAUGAAAUUUAAAAGAAAAAUUUUUAUAUCAGUUAAAUGGGGAUUAAAAAACGAUCCAAAAUUUAAAUAAAUAAAUUAUGAAAACUGUCGUCAAAAACCAAGAUUAGGUACCUUGCUAUUGGUAGUAGUAAAUAAGAAUACCCAGAGGAGUAAAAAUUCGAAACUCAAAAGACCUGGCGGUGGAUGGACUUCCUGCCAGAGGAGCGUGCUGAGUAAUAGAUAGUCCGCUAAUUAAUAAACCCUUAUUUUUAACGUCAGUGUACGGCCGCUUUCAGACAAUUUCUAUAGAAUUUAAAAAUUGUCUAUACCCGCUUAUAGCCAACUAAUUAAGACAGGUCAAUGUGCUGCUGAUAUAAGGGGUUGAUGGUGCGCUAUUUAGACAUAGGAUAAAGGAUGGGGACAUGUAAUAGUUCCUUGAAUUCAGAUUUGGGAGUAACGUAGUAAAUAAUAUGUAUUCGUGAAAUUAGGUAAAGCUCUGUGUACACAUCGCCCGUCAUUCUUUUUGAAAAAAAAGAGAAGUCGUAACAUGGUAGCCUCAAUAGAAAUUGAGGCUUAAGAGAU
This 780-nucleotide non-coding RNA is filed under the name Crassiplana albatrossi. Its description in RNAcentral is "12S ribosomal RNA". The stretch from base 364 to 773 matches the Rfam family "Microsporidia small subunit ribosomal RNA", at positions 752 to 1303 of the family's 1311-position model. The record is from RNAcentral. Lineage: Eukaryota; Metazoa; Platyhelminthes; Polycladida; Callioplanidae.